CAAGAAAAUUUGUUUGUAGGUGCAGAAUUGCAUGGAGAAAGAGGUGGUGGUCUCUGUCCUUGCAAGAUAGUAAAGGUGCUGGACGAGGGUACUGUUAAAACCCAAUAUGAGGUAGCAUGGCUUGAUAAGGAUAAUAAAAUAUUGGAAACUUCGGUUGCAAAAAGAGAUGAUUUAAUAUGGAAGAAGUUUCCUUUUAGUAGAAGCAUUUUGAAGUCUUUUAUUCGUGAGUCAACAUACCGAAGUGCUCCUUGGGUGCUUCAUAACAAUUUGGCACAGAAGCAUGGAAUCUCAUGUGACCCACCGCCAGAGUUAAAAGGCAAAGUUUUCAUAGUGGAUGGACGAGUGAUCUCCAAUAAGAAAAGAAAAGAUAUAGAAGAUAGAAAAAAUGAAGCGGAUGUAGAUAAGGAAUAUGGAAAACAUAAAAAGAAGAAAGUGGAGGGUGAGGAAGUUGAAGCAACAAGCAAGGAAAGAAAUGAAGACAAUCAACCAUUGCGAGAUCCCAUCACAUAUCCCAUCGAUGAUCUGUUGGUGCAGCC
Molecule: unclassified non-coding RNA, 536 nt
Filed under: Hevea brasiliensis (rubber tree)
Lineage: Eukaryota; Viridiplantae; Streptophyta; Magnoliopsida; Malpighiales; Euphorbiaceae
Source: RNAcentral